UUAAAUUGAAGAGUUUGAUCAUGGCUCAGAUUGAACGCUGGCGGCAGGCCUAACACAUGCAAGUCGAACGGUAACAGGAAGAAGCUUGCUUCUUUGCUGACGAGUGGCGGACGGGUGAGUAAUGUCUGGGAAACUGCCUGAUGGAGGGGGAUAACUACUGGAAACGGUAGCUA
Molecule: ribosomal RNA, 173 nt
Filed under: Escherichia coli
Lineage: Bacteria; Pseudomonadati; Pseudomonadota; Gammaproteobacteria; Enterobacterales; Enterobacteriaceae
Description: partial 16S ribosomal RNA
Rfam family: Bacterial small subunit ribosomal RNA
Source: RNAcentral